This 1277-nucleotide long non-coding RNA is filed under the name Gossypium barbadense (sea-island cotton). Its description in RNAcentral is "long non-coding RNA (GBAR_LNC018261)". Lineage: Eukaryota; Viridiplantae; Streptophyta; Magnoliopsida; Malvales; Malvaceae. The record is from RNAcentral.
UGGGAGCUUUUUUUUCUACAUAUUGAAGAAAACAGCACCGGAAUUACACAGUUACCAAACGGUGCAUAUAGUCAUGAAAUUCACUUAAUCCCGGUGGCCGGCCGAAAGCAGUAGCAGCCAAAACAUCAGCUACUGGAUUUCCUUCUCAGUAGACAUGUCUCACCUUCACCCUGCACUCUUGUUGCAACAACUUCUUGAUUUCUCUUACCAAAACAUUUAGGACAACAACACCAGGAUCACCUUCUAUUAACUGUAUGGCCAUUGGGAGCAUUUUAAUCAACCCCCCAAAAAAAUGGAAGCUUUUUAUUCUUAAAGAUCUGCAGGUUGAAUGAUGCUGAUUUUUUGAUGUGAGCACAUUUACGCCACCAAGGCAAACCGAUCCGGAGGUCUUAUCAUUAGGACCUAUUACCCGUUCUAAGGCAAAGAAAUUCAGGGAAGUCUUGUUCCUUACUUGUGCUACGAUUCCAGAUUCAUUCGGUCAUGUUCAUGCCUUAGAACAUAGGCUUUAUAACAUGUUGCAUGCUGAUAUGUAACAUAUCUCGGUUAUAUUACUAGUUCAUGCGUUUAAGUAUGUCUAUGUUAUGCUAAGUCCGUUUCUGCAAUUGGGUUGAUAGUAUUUGUAUUGUUUCUAAGUUGUUUCUAAAUUGUAAGUGUGUUAAAGAAUAAGAAUUGCAAGUGUUCCAGCUUGUAAUUGUGUUUUCCAUUAAAUUUACCAGACUUUGAUGAAAGUUUGAUAUGUUUUGAUAUAGGUACAAUAAUGGACAGCAGCUUAAGGCCUCAUUUCUAGCUCGGUUGAAGUUCAAAUAUGUGCGUGCAGCUCUUCUCAGCUCGAAAUAAUUCUAAAAGCUUGUUUCCAGCUCAUUUCAGCUCAGUACAUUUCCAGCUAGCUCAAUUUCAGCUCCACCAGCUCAACUCUAGUUGACAAGUCUAGAAGUAGCUGGAAGGUGUCCUACAUAUCGGGGAGUGUCCCAUACACAUGUGGCAACCUAGGUGGCAUCCCAGCAUGCAAAUCACACACGUAACAGCCUUGACACAUGUGUGUGCAUGUGUGGCCGAAAUCAGCCCUCUUCUCUACAUAUGACGCCAAUUUCAAAGGGAUAAGAACAGGAGUUCAAAUGUUUGAAUUUCAAACGUUUUGGAUAAGAACAAGAGUUCAAAUGUUUGAAUUUCAAACGUUUCACACAUAUUAAAUGUGUGGCUGGUAUUUGAUGGCGCCAAGAGAGGAUAUAACUCAUUCAUAUUCAAAUUUGAAUUCUUUAUUUACAACUGUCGAAACC